UACGUGGAUAUUCAUAGAGAAGGCAUUAUUUAUUUGGAUUUCAGAAAAACUAGUAUUUGUAUCAAAACAUUUGGGUUUCGUAUUAAGUCUUGCAUAAGCCUCCUCGUGACUGACAUGAAGUCUAUGAAAAAAGCUUCAAAGUUUUUUUGUUUUGUGUCGAAUUCCGAGAGAUAUUUCAGUUCGUAGAUAGGACGUGCAACAUUUUUUCUACUAUUUUUUGUAUUAACAGUAAACUUGUAUUAAAAUUAGUCAUCGCUUAAGGCGCCCCCCUUCGGACCAUAUACGAAGUGAUCGUUGAACGUGUAGGACUAUUUGCAGGAUCCAUCUGUUAGCCACUAGAGGCGCCAUAUCUUGUCCUUUAAGCUGGCAAUGACAUUCUUAAUGUGAAAUGCAAAAGUGAGGCGCCUAUGUAAGGUAACACACUUUCAUUGUUAUAGAGUCUUUUUGGAGUGUCUAUGUCCCCACUGCCCAUAUUUUAUGGUCGAGGCUAUUAUUCCAUCGGAAGGCACAUUUUAAAAUUUUUUCAAGAACUUUGGCAGGGUGUUCGUUGCUUUAGAAAAACAUCUGCUCCUGACUAAAAAGGGACUGCCAUGCGCAAUUGUGGCAAUCCAAUCGAUGGCUAGUGAGCAGCAUAAGUAAUGAACGUUUACAGGAUGGGCCCGAGGAUGCUUCCAAGGGGAACUACUGCAGAGAUAACUUUUGAAGUGGAAACGGUUAGACCACAGAAAAAGUCCUUUCGAAAAGGAAACUGACAAAGAUUUUGAAAAGUUGGUGGUGAAAAAGUCCUCUUAGCUUAUACAGAAGGCCCUGAUGCCAUACCCUGUCGAAUGCCUGUCGAAAUGCCCCUCACGAUGCACUUUUUCGGGGUGCCGUGGCCUUUUUUGAUGCCAAAUUAAACUCCAGAAUUGCUUAAACUCCCGAAUUAAAUAGCAAGAGGACCAGUAUGCACCUUUACAACAAGGCGAUAUUCACGGUUUAUCUCGGUAUUGGGAUAUGCUGAAGGCAAGAACAGGAGAGCAUGAUAAGGUGAUAUUACUAAUCAUACGGUUAAUGAUUCCGUCAGGACAAGGCUUCCUUUAUUUUAAGCUUCUUUAUAAUACUCCCGGUCUCUGGAAGUGAAACAGGACGAAGAGGCAAGAAAAGCUGUAGAUUUCUUCACCGUCUCACCCCUGGAAAGCUUUGAAGCGUUCUUUAAGAUCCUUAGUAAAGGCCUCUUCACGAUCUUGAGGCCGAAAUUCGUCUCCUUAUUGGGAGUGGAUUCUUCAAGCUCAUUGUUGAUGCUACCUUCGUUAAAUAACUCUAACAUCUUUCGAAUUCUGUGGGCAAGCCUACGAUAGAUCUGGUCACGGAGCCUGUCGUGUAUGCGUAGAUGUUCAUGUCAGAUCCCUGCGGAUAGCAGGGAGAUUACAGGGAGUAGAAGAGCCAGUCAAGGAUAACCCGAAAGUAAGAUGAAGCUGGUCCGAGCUUAGGUCAUGAGUACAGCAAUGAUCAUUUCUUGGGAAAGGAACUCCUGUCAGGAAAGAAAGUUUGUCUCCCAGUGGUCAAAACUUUACAAUUUCUGUAAAGCUUUAAUAAACAAGCUGCACCUGCAAUAGAUACGUUUUGAACAUAGAACAGUUUUAGAUAGCCAUGACUUUUUGAAAAUAUGA
Drosophila ananassae is the source of this 1649-nucleotide long non-coding RNA. RefSeq lists it as uncharacterized. The record is from RefSeq and is a predicted model, not a curated record. The transcript has 3 exons. Lineage: Eukaryota; Metazoa; Arthropoda; Insecta; Diptera; Drosophilidae.